This 606-nucleotide ribosomal RNA is filed under the name uncultured bacterium. Its description in RNAcentral is "bacterial SSU rRNA". It matches the Rfam family "Bacterial small subunit ribosomal RNA", at positions 378 to 995 of the family's 1533-position model. The record is from RNAcentral.
GCAGCCUGACAGACGCCGCGGGAGAUGAGGCUCGUUGUAACUUGUCAGGUUUCGACUGGGACGAAUACCUCGUAAGAGGGGUGACGGUACCAGUAGAAGAAGCCCCGGCUAACUACGUGCCAGCAGCCGCGGUAAGACGUAGGGGGCCAGCGUUGUUCGGAAUUACUGGGUGUAAAGGGUUCGUAGGCGGUGUGGCAAGUCGGGAGUGAAAUUUCUGGGCUUAACCCAGAAGCUGCUUCCGAAACUGCUGUGCUUGAGUGUGGGAGAGGCGCGUGGAAUUGCAGGUGUAGCGGUGAAAUGCGUAGAUAUCUGCAGGAACACCCGUGGCGAAAGCGGCGCGCUGGACCACAACUGACGCUGAGGAACGAAAGCUAGGGGAGCAAACAGGAUUAGAUACCCGGGUAGUCCUAGCCCUAAACGAUCAGGACUUGGGGGUGCCGCACGUUCGUGCGUCGUCCCGGAGCUAACGCGUUAAGACCUGCACCUGGGGAGUACGGUCGCAAGACUGAAACUCAAAGGAAUUGACGGGGGCCCGCACAAGCGGUGGAACAUGUGGUUCAUUCGACGCUACGCGAGGAACCUUACUGGGCUCGAAAUGCUUCUGAA